Molecule: unclassified non-coding RNA, 343 nt
Filed under: soil metagenome
Description: partial contains 5.8S ribosomal RNA, internal transcribed spacer 2, and large subunit ribosomal RNA
Rfam family: 5.8S ribosomal RNA (bases 1-120)
Source: RNAcentral
GAUGAAGAACGUAGCGAAAUGCGAUACGUAAUGUGAAUUGCAGAAUUCAGUGAAUCAUCGAGUCUUUGAACGCACAUUGCGCCCCCUGGUAUUCCGGGGGGCAUGCCUGUCCGAGCGUCAUUGCUGCCUCAAGCACGGCUUGUGUGUUGGGCCUCCGUCCUCCUCCCGGGGGACGGGCCCGAAAGGCAGCGGCGGCACCGCGUCCGGUCCUCGAGCGUAUGGGCUUCGUCACCCGCUCUUGUAGGCCCGGCCGGCGCUUGCCGACACAUCAAUCUUUUUUCCAGGUUGACCUCGGAUCAGGUAGGGAUACCCGCUGAACUUAAGCAUAUCAAUAAGCGGAGGA